GAAUUGACGGGGGCCCGCACAAGCAGUGGAGUAUGUGGUUUAAUUCGAAGCAACGCGAAGAACCUUACCAGGGCUUGACAUCCCUCUGACAGGCAUAGAGAUAUGCCCUCUCUUCGGAGCAGAGGAGACAGGUGGUGCAUGGUUGUCGUCAGCUCGUGUCGUGAGAUGUUGGGUUAAGUCCCGCAACGAGCGCAACCCCUGUUGUUAGUUGCCAUCAUUAAGUUGGGCACUCUAACGAGACUGCCGGUGACAAAUCGGAGGAAGGUGGGGAUGACGUCAAAUCAUCAUGCCCCUUAUGUCCUGGGCUACACACGUACUACAAUGGCGACUACAGAGGGCAGCGAGACCGCGAGGUUAAGCAAAUCCCGAAAAGUCGUCCCAGUUCGGAUUGCAGGCUGCAACCCGCCUGCAUGAAGUCGGAAUUGCUAGUAAUGGCAGGUCAGCAUACUGCCGUGAAUACGUUCCCGGGCCUUGUACACACCG
This 483-nucleotide ribosomal RNA is filed under the name uncultured Clostridium sp. Its description in RNAcentral is "bacterial SSU rRNA". It matches the Rfam family "Bacterial small subunit ribosomal RNA", at positions 907 to 1392 of the family's 1533-position model. Lineage: Bacteria; Bacillati; Bacillota; Clostridia; Eubacteriales; Clostridiaceae. The record is from RNAcentral.